Molecule: ribosomal RNA, 524 nt
Filed under: Lodderomyces parapsilosis
Lineage: Eukaryota; Fungi; Ascomycota; Pichiomycetes; Serinales; Debaryomycetaceae
Description: Candida parapsilosis partial large subunit ribosomal RNA
Rfam family: Eukaryotic large subunit ribosomal RNA
Source: RNAcentral
AAUUUGAAAUCUGGCACUUUCAGUGUCCGAGUUGUAAUUUGAAGAAGGUAUCUUUGGGUCUGGCUCUUGUCUAUGUUUCUUGGAACAGAACGUCACAGAGGGUGAGAAUCCCGUGCGAUGAGAUGUCCCAGACCUAUGUAAAGUUCCUUCGAAGAGUCGAGUUGUUUGGGAAUGCAGCUCUAAGUGGGUGGUAAAUUCCAUCUAAAGCUAAAUAUUGGCGAGAGACCGAUAGCGAACAAGUACAGUGAUGGAAAGAUGAAAAGAACUUUGAAAAGAGAGUGAAAAAGUACGUGAAAUUGUUGAAAGGGAAGGGCUUGAGAUCAGACUUGGUAUUUUGUAUGUUACUCUCUCGGGGGUGGCCUCUACAGUUUACCGGGCCAGCAUCAGUUUGAGCGGUAGGAUAAGUGCAAAGAAAUGUGGCACUGCUUCGGUAGUGUGUUAUAGUCUUUGUCGAUACUGCCAGCUUAGACUGAGGACUGCGGCUUCGGCCUAGGAUGUUGGCAUAAUGAUCUUAAGUCGCCCGU